RNAcentral lists this ribosomal RNA (489 nucleotides) under uncultured bacterium. RNAcentral's name for it is "partial 16S ribosomal RNA". It matches the Rfam family "Bacterial small subunit ribosomal RNA", at positions 30 to 507 of the family's 1533-position model. The record is from RNAcentral.
UUGAACGCUGGCGGCAGGCCUAACACAUGCAAGUCGCACGGUAACAGGGAUCAGCUUGCUGAUUCGCUGACGAGUGGCGGACGGGUGAGUAAUGUCUGGGAAACUGCCUGAUGGAGGGGGAUAACUACUGGAAACGGUAGCUAAUACCGCAUAACGUCGCAAGACCAAAGAGGGGGACCUUCGGGCCUCUUGCCAUCGGAUGUGCCUAGAUGGGAUUAGCUAGUAGGUGGGGUAACGGCUCACCUAGGCGACGAUCCCUAGCUGGUCUGAGAGGAUGACCAGCCACACUGGAACUGAGACACGGUCCAGACUCCUACGGGAGGCAGCAGUGGGGAAUAUUGCACAAUGGGCGCAAGCCUGAUGCAGCCAUGCCGCGUGUAUGAAGAAGGCCUUCGGGUUGUAAAGUACUUUCAGCGGGGAGGAAGGGAGUAAAGUUAAUACCUUUGCUCAUUGACGUUACCCGCAGAAGAAGCACCGGCUAACUCCGUG